Molecule: ribosomal RNA, 497 nt
Filed under: uncultured bacterium
Lineage: Bacteria
Description: partial 16S ribosomal RNA
Rfam family: Bacterial small subunit ribosomal RNA
Source: RNAcentral
GAUGAACGCUGGCGGCGUGCCUAACACAUGCAAGUCGAGCGAACACACGAGGAGCUUGCUCCCCUGCCGUUAGCGGCUGGCGGGCGAGUAACGCAUGGAUCCCCUACCUCUUAUACUUGGAUAACUUCGUGAAACAGCUUCUACUACCACCUCAUAUCUUCAACCGCAUAGUUCAAUGUUGAUUCGCACUUUUCCCGUCUCUUUUAGCUGGAUUCGCGGCGCCUUAUCUAGUUGGUAAGGUAACGGCUUACCAAGGCAACGAAGCUUAGCCGACCGGAGAGGGUGAUCGGCCACACUGGAACUGAGACAAGGGCCAGACUCCUACGGGAGGCAGCAGUAGGGAAUCUUCCGCAAUGGGCGAAAGCCUGACGGAGCAACGCCGCGUGAGGGAUGAAGGUCUUCGGAUCGUAAAACUCUGUUAUUAGGGAAGAACAAAUGGGUAAGUAACUAUGCACGUCUUGACGGUACCUAAUCAGAAAGCCACGGCUAACUACGUG